Non-coding RNA from Paramuricea clavata, 270 nucleotides. Lineage: Eukaryota; Metazoa; Cnidaria; Anthozoa; Malacalcyonacea; Plexauridae. The record is from the annotation of a GenBank genome assembly.
CGAAGAUUGACUAUUCCUGCCCUUAAAAGGAUUAACUCUACUUCUGUUAGUGUUUCAGAAGAAAGAUGGUUAAUAAGCCCAGGUCACACUACACAACGAUAACGAUACGAUAACUUGUAUACGCGCGCUGAUUGGUCAAAAAUUUAUCGUUAUCGUCCGGCUGAAAAAAAAAUCGCUCAGGUGAGCGAUUUUAAAAUCGUUAUCGUUAUCGUCUAACGAUAAUUUUAUCAUUUUCGUUGUUGUGUGGACACUAACACAAUUUUUUUGACA